GGGCCUGUAGCUCAGUUGGUUAGAGCAGAAGACUCAUAAUCUUUUGGUCGUAGGUUCGAGUCCUACCGGGCCCACCA
RNAcentral lists this transfer RNA (77 nucleotides) under Gammaproteobacteria bacterium. RNAcentral describes it as "tRNA-Ile". It matches the Rfam family "tRNA". From Rfam's summary of the family: Transfer RNA (tRNA) molecules are approximately 80 nucleotides in length. Their secondary structure includes four short double-helical elements and three loops (D, anti-codon, and T loops). Lineage: Bacteria; Pseudomonadati; Pseudomonadota; Gammaproteobacteria. RNAcentral also lists the same sequence under 4 other names. The record is from RNAcentral.